GCACUAGUUCUCUAGUGCAUACACUAAAAUUGGAACGAUACAGAGAAGAUUAGCAUGGCCCCUGCGCAAGGAUGACACGCAAAUCCGUGAAGCGUUCCUCAUUUAG
This is a small nuclear RNA of Oryzias melastigma (Indian medaka), 106 nucleotides long. The record is from Ensembl. Lineage: Eukaryota; Metazoa; Chordata; Actinopteri; Beloniformes; Adrianichthyidae.